AUACUUACCUGGCAGGGGAGAUACCAUGAUCAUGAAGGUGGUUUUCCUAGGGCGAGGCUUAUCCAUUGCACUCCGGAUGUGCUGACCCCUGCGAUUUCCCCAAAUGUGGGAAACUCGACUGCAUAAUUUGUGGUAGUGGGGACUGCGUUCGCGCUUUCCCCUA
This 163-nucleotide small nuclear RNA is filed under the name Rhinopithecus bieti (black snub-nosed monkey). Its description in RNAcentral is "U1 spliceosomal RNA (ENSRBIG00000001706.1)". It matches the Rfam family "U1 spliceosomal RNA". Rfam says of the family: U1 is a small nuclear RNA (snRNA) component of the spliceosome (involved in pre-mRNA splicing). The record is from Rfam by way of RNAcentral. Lineage: Eukaryota; Metazoa; Chordata; Mammalia; Primates; Cercopithecidae.